Spinacia oleracea (spinach) is the source of this 896-nucleotide long non-coding RNA. RefSeq lists it as uncharacterized. The transcript has 3 exons. The record is from RefSeq and is a predicted model, not a curated record. NCBI's taxonomy places the organism in Eukaryota, Viridiplantae, Streptophyta, Magnoliopsida, Caryophyllales, Amaranthaceae.
CCUCUCUCCCUCCUCUCUCCCCUCUCACUUUUCUCUCUCCUCUCACGAUCCUAGGUUACACUUCCUCGCAUCGUCCUUCAUCAAUUGCGGCUCUGAGGUCAAUCGCAAGGAAAUGCAGAGCUCUAUUGGCGUCAGCAAAUUCCUUCACCACCGCGUCAACGAACAGCAGGAAGGAGGAAGGACAUAAGGAUGAACCUCCUGCUGUUUGUGUAUAUACCGUUUGUGAUGAAUCAAAGAAUUAUCCAAUUGCUAAAGGUAAUUGAUUGUGAGGAAUGUUCCAGCACUGGGGUGUGGUGAUGAACUAAGACAACUGCUUGCAAGUUGCAACAUAUGGAGAAGUUGAAGAGUAUGCUUACCCAAUUUCUUUUUAACUCUCUUUUUUAUAAAAUAUUUUAUUGAAUUGCAAUUAAUGUAAAUUGUUUUACUGAUUGAUGACAUUGUGGGGUUAAUUAAGGUUCUUGAUAAUUUUAUUGGUGUGAAGUGUUAUUGACUUGCUUGAAUUGUUCAUUACUAGUAGUAUAAUACGAAUUGAAGUAGAAAUUUAUGGUACUUGAGUCUCAAUGUAAGUGAAAACAUUACAUUGAACUUUUAAGUAAUUUGGUGAUUUUACUGCAUCAACUUAAUUUCAUGUCUUUCUUUAGCUUAAGGAAGUUGAAGAUCUUUUUUAAACUAAAUUGGUGAAUUCUACUUCCACUUGCAACAUUGAGUCUUCCAUUUUGAAUCACAAUUACCUUUUUAAGUCUUAAUCUGUCCAAGCGUGCAAUCAUUUAAUAGGUCUUAUGCAUUUCAGCUACGCAAGUAGUAUGCAGUAUAUAGGCUUUUUCUAUUUUUCUCCCAUGGGCAAUAAUAUGUCCUAAACUGCUUCAGUAAUUGAUUUUAAACUUCAAUAGUUUGCU